AACAGGUCAUGGGGUGCAUAUAUAAUGCGCGCAUUUCUCCCAAGGCUUUGGAAAAGUUUUACGAACAGACGCAGUCAAGCAAUACCGAGCAACGCCCGACAUCGACUUCCCCGGAAUUGAAAGCUUAAGGAUCCAUCAUGAAUGCUAUCGCCGCAGCCGUUUUCUGUGCGAUGUCGGUGUGUGCCAUCGCCAUAGCUGUGCGCCAAGCACAUCUCGCAGUCGGCAUGGGCGGAGGAUCUCACGGAUGCAAUUGCCCCACGCUGAACGUGUUGGCUGCAAGGCAAUGUUGCGUCACGGUGGGGACCUGCUGUCUCGCGGCAGGAAUGAGCGUUGGAGAUAACGGUGGACAUCUUGGCGACGCCGCACACGGAUACCCUGUUGCCCCCUACACUCCUAUCGGAUUGCGCACGCGCAGGCCUGUCCUCGCUCGUCCCCCGUUGGUUCAGGGUGGCCUGCAGCUCAACAUUGGAAAUGGAAUGGAAUGAUUCGAAGCGACACUUGGUCGAAUAAACGCAGUCGUUUAUCGGCGAACAAGGCUGACACU
Dermacentor albipictus is the source of this 544-nucleotide long non-coding RNA. RefSeq lists it as uncharacterized. Lineage: Eukaryota; Metazoa; Arthropoda; Arachnida; Ixodida; Ixodidae. The record is from RefSeq and is a predicted model, not a curated record.